RNAcentral lists this ribosomal RNA (1294 nucleotides) under human gut metagenome. RNAcentral's name for it is "bacterial LSU rRNA". It matches the Rfam family "Bacterial large subunit ribosomal RNA", at positions 1326 to 2627 of the family's 2925-position model. The record is from RNAcentral.
AAACCCCCUCGCCGAAAGACUAAGGUUUCCUGAUCAACGCUAAUCGGAUCAGGGUAAGUCGGGUCCUAAGGCUCAGCCGAAGGGCGAUGCCGAUGGCAGAAACGGUUAAUAUUCCGUUACUACCUCCAGGAGUGAUGUGGAGACGCAGUAGUGACAAUGCCGCCAUCUGACGGAAUAGAUGGUUGAAGGGUGUAGAUGUUGAUCUUGGCAGGCAAAUCCACCAUGAGAAUCGAACCUGAUAGUAUGCCGCGUCCCUCGGGACAAGGCAAUAGUGCAUGUAAUCAUGCUGCCAAGAAAAUCCGCUAAACUAAAUCCUGUAGGUACCCGUACCGUAAACGGACACACGUAGUCGGGAUGAAUAUUCUAAGGCGCUUGAGUGAUUCACGGUUAAGGAACUAGGCAAACUGACCCUGUAACUUCGGGAUAAAGGGUCCCUACCCGGUGACGGGAGGGCGCAGAGAAUAGGUCCAGGCAACUGUUUAACAAAAACACAGGGCUGUGCUAAAUCGAAAGAUCCUGUAUACAGCCUGACACCUGCCCGGUGCUGGAAGGUUAAGAGGAGACGUCAUCGUUGAGAGAAGCGUUGAAUUGAAGCCCCAGUAAACGGCGGCCGUAACUAUAACGGUCCUAAGGUAGCGAAAUUCCUUGUCGGGUAAGUUCCGACCUGCACGAAUGGUGUAAUGAUCUGGACGCUGUCUCAACCGUGAGCUCAGUGAAAUUGUAGUAUCGGUGAAGAUGCCGAUUACCCGCGAUGGGACGAAAAGACCCCGUGAACCUUUACUAUAGCUUAUCAUUGAAUCUGGGCACGUGAUGUGUAGGAUAGGUCGGAGGCUUUGAAGGGGGUACGCCAGUAUCCUUGGAGCCGCUGUUGAAAUACGACCCUUCAUUUGUUUGGAUUCUAACCCGUGUAUAUGGGGACACUGAUUGGUGGGUAGUUUGACUGGGGUGGUCGCCUCCAAAAGCGUAACGGAGGCUUCUAAAGGUGCCCUCACGGCGAUUGGUAACCGCCGUUAGAGUGUAAUGGCAUAAGGGCGCUUGACUGGGAGACUGACAAGUCGAUCAGGUAGGAAACUAGAGCAUAGUGAUCCGGUGUUUCCGUAUGGAAGGGACAUCGCUCAAAGGAUAAAAGGUACUCCGGGGAUAACAGGCUGAUCCCUCCCAAGAGCUCAUAUCGACGGAGUGGUUUGGCACCUCGAUGUCGGCUCGUCACAUCCUGGGGCUGGAGAAGGUCCCAAGGGUUGGGCUGUUCGCCCAUUAAAGUGGCACGCGAGCUGGGUUCAGAACGUCGUGAGAC